UGAAAUGCGUAGAUAUAUGGAGGAACACCAGUGGCGAAGGCGGCUCUCUGGUCUGUAACUGACGCUGAGGCUCGANAGCGUGGGGAGCGAACAGGAUUAGAUACCCUGGUAGUCCACGCCGUAAACGAUGAGUGCUAAGUGUUGGAGGGUUUCCGCCCUUCAGUGCUGCAGCAAACGCAUUAAGCACUCCGCCUGGGGAGUACGACCGCAAGGUUGAAACUCAAAGGAAUUGACGGGGGCCCGCACAAGCGGUGGAGCAUGUGGUUUAAUUCGAAGCAACGCGAAGAACCUUACCAGGUCUUGACAUCCUUUGACCACUCUAGAGAUAGAGCUUCCCCUUCGGGGGCAAAGUGACAGGUGGUGCAUGGUUGUCGUCAGCUCGUGUCGUGAGAUGUUGGGUUAAGUCCCGCAACGAGCGCAACCCUUAUUGUUAGUUGCCAUCAUUUAGUUGGGCACUCUAGCGAGACUGCCGGUGACAAACCGGAGGAAGGUGGGGAUGACGUCAAAUCAUCAUGCCCCUUAUGACCUGGGCUACACACGUGCUACAAUGGGAAGUACAACAAGUUGCGAAGUCGCGAGGCUAAGCUAAUCUCUUAAAGCUUCUCUCAGUUCGGAUUGUAGGCUGCAACUCGCCUACAUGAAGCCGGAAUCGCUAGUAAUCGCGGAUCAGCACGCCGCGGUGAAUACGUUCCCGGGCCUUGUACACAC
This 708-nucleotide ribosomal RNA is filed under the name uncultured bacterium. RNAcentral describes it as "bacterial SSU rRNA". It matches the Rfam family "Bacterial small subunit ribosomal RNA", at positions 682 to 1390 of the family's 1533-position model. The record is from RNAcentral.